Molecule: ribosomal RNA, 500 nt
Filed under: uncultured bacterium
Lineage: Bacteria
Description: partial 16S ribosomal RNA
Rfam family: Bacterial small subunit ribosomal RNA
Source: RNAcentral
AUUGAACGCUGGCGGCAUGCUUUACACAUGCAAGUCGAACGGUAACAGGGUGCUUGCACCGCUGACGAGUGGCGAACGGGUGAGUAAUGCGUCGGAACGUGCCGAGUAGUGGGGGAUAACGCAGCGAAAGUUGUGCUAAUACCGCAUACGUACUGAGGUAGAAAGUGGGGGACCUUCGGGCCUCACGCUAUUCGGGCGGCCGACGUCUGAUUAGCUAGUAGGUGAGGUAAAGGCUCACCUAGGCGACGAUCAGUAGCGGGUCUGAGAGGAUGAUCCGCCACACUGGGAGUGAGACACGGCCCAGACUCCUACGGGAGGAAGCAGUGGGGAAUUUUGGACAAUGGGCGCAAGCCUGAUCCAGCCAUGCCGCGUGUCUGAAGAAGGCCUUCGGGUUGUAAAGGACUUUUGUCAGGGAGGAAAUCCCUAGUGCUAAUAACACUGGGGGAUGACAGUACCUGAAGAAUAAGCACCGGCUAACUACGUGCCAGCCGCCGCCGUAA